ACUACGGGAGGCAGCAGUGAGGAAUAUUGGUCAAUGGCCGGAAGGCUGAACCAGCCAUGCCGCGUGAAGGUCAGUGCCCUAUGGGCGUUAAACUUCUUUUGUGCGGGAGCAAUAAUGGUCACGUGUGGCCAGACGAGAGUACCGUACGAAUAAGCAUCGGCUAACUCCGUGCCAGCAGCCGCGGUAAUACGGGGGAUGCAAGCGUUAUCCGGAUUUAUGUGGUUUAAAGGGUGCGUAUGCUGUGAGGUAAGUCAGCGGUGAAAUGCCCCCGCGCCACGGGGUGAAGUGCCAUUGAUACUGCCUUGCUGGAAUGCGGAUGCCGUGGGAGGAAUGUGUGGUGUAGCGGUGAAAUGCAUAGAUAUCACACAGAACACCGAUUGCGAAGGCAUCUCACGAAUCCGCGAUUGACGCUGAUGCACGAAAGCGUGGGUAUCAAACAGGAGUAGAUACCCUAGUAGUC
Molecule: ribosomal RNA, 460 nt
Filed under: uncultured bacterium
Lineage: Bacteria
Description: partial 16S ribosomal RNA
Rfam family: Bacterial small subunit ribosomal RNA
Source: RNAcentral